CCGGAGUAGCUCAGUCGGUUAGAGCAGCGGAAUCAUAAUCCGCGUGUCGGGGGUUCGAGUCCCUCCUCCGGCA
Molecule: transfer RNA, 73 nt
Filed under: Actinomycetota bacterium
Lineage: Bacteria; Bacillati; Actinomycetota
Description: tRNA-Met
Rfam family: tRNA
About the family: Transfer RNA (tRNA) molecules are approximately 80 nucleotides in length.
Source: RNAcentral